This 449-nucleotide long non-coding RNA is filed under the name Homo sapiens (human). RNAcentral describes it as "long intergenic non-protein coding RNA 1702". Lineage: Eukaryota; Metazoa; Chordata; Mammalia; Primates; Hominidae. The record is from RNAcentral.
AUUCCUGCGGAAGCAUGUGUAUCAUUCCCCUAUGGUUUAUAACCCCUGAGUCUGGGGGUAAUGGCACGGGGACCCACCAGCUUGUCUGCCGCCAUCUGGGGUACAGUGCUGGAAGCGGGGAUACAGGGACAAAUAAGACACAGAUCCUGUUCCUAAAGAGAGUCUUUUCUAAGGCACCAACUACUUCCUUCAAGCAGCAGCCAGAGAUCUUUGCUUAAUGGCUGAGAAACACAGAGGAGAGACCCAGAGAGAAGGAGAAGGCCGCAUGAAGAUGGAGCAGAGACUGGAGUUAUUCAGCCAAGUCAAGGAAUGCCUGGAGCACCAGAAGCCGGAAGAGGCAAGGAAGGAUCCUCCCUUAGAGCAUUUGGAAGAGUGUGGCCCUGCCAACACCUUGACUUCAAACUUCUGGCCUCCAUAACUAUGAAAUAAAUUCUUGUUGUUUUAAGCCA